This 72-nucleotide transfer RNA is filed under the name Shimia sagamensis. Its description in RNAcentral is "tRNA_Gln_TTG". It matches the Rfam family "tRNA". From Rfam's summary of the family: Transfer RNA (tRNA) molecules are approximately 80 nucleotides in length. Their secondary structure includes four short double-helical elements and three loops (D, anti-codon, and T loops). Further hydrogen bonds mediate the characteristic L-shaped molecular structure. tRNAs have two regions of fundamental functional importance: the anti-codon, which is responsible for specific mRNA codon recognition, and the 3' end, to which the tRNAs corresponding amino acid is attached (by aminoacyl-tRNA synthetases). tRNAs cope with the degeneracy of the genetic code in two manners: having more than one tRNA (with a specific anti-codon) for a particular amino acid; and 'wobble' base-pairing, i.e. permitting non-standard base-pairing at the 3rd anti-codon position. Lineage: Bacteria; Pseudomonadati; Pseudomonadota; Alphaproteobacteria; Rhodobacterales; Roseobacteraceae. The record is from RNAcentral.
UGGGGUGUAGCCAAGUGGUAAGGCACCAGUUUUUGGUACUGCGCAUCGUAGGUUCGAAUCCUACCACCCCAG